This 165-nucleotide small nuclear RNA is filed under the name Zea mays. RNAcentral describes it as "U2 spliceosomal RNA". It matches the Rfam family "U2 spliceosomal RNA". From Rfam's summary of the family: U2 is a small nuclear RNA (snRNA) component of the spliceosome (involved in pre-mRNA splicing). Complementary binding between U2 snRNA (in an area lying towards the 5' end but 3' to hairpin I) and the branchpoint sequence (BPS) of the intron results the bulging out of an unpaired adenosine, on the BPS, which initiates a nucleophilic attack at the intronic 5' splice site, thus starting the first of two transesterification reactions that mediate splicing. Lineage: Eukaryota; Viridiplantae; Streptophyta; Magnoliopsida; Poales; Poaceae. The record is from Rfam by way of RNAcentral.
AUAUCUAUCUCGGCCUUUUGGCUAAGAUAAAGUGCAUCAUCUACAUUUUAAUAUCUGGUAUGUGGGUCAUAUGUCCACUUUAAUUUUAUAUUUAUUUUUUGUGGGGAUGAUCCACUUUAUUUUUUUUGUGGGGGUCCAUCACACUGGCUUGCCACUGGACCCUCA